ACGACGCUGGCGGCGUGCCUAAUACAUGCAAGUAGAACGCUGAAGAGAGGAGCUUGCUCUUCUUGGAUGAGUUGCGAACGGGUGAGUAACGCGUAGGUAACCUGCCUUGUAGCGGGGGAUAACUAUUGGAAACGAUAGCUAAUACCGCAUAACAAUGGAUGACACAUGUCAUUUAUUUGAAAGGGGCAAUUGCUCCACUACAAGAUGGACCUGCGUUGUAUUAGCUAGUAGGUGAGGUAAUGGCUCACCUAGGCGACGAUACAUAGCCGACCUGAGAGGGUGAUCGGCCACACUGGGACUGAGACACGGCCCAGACUCCUACGGGAGGCAGCAGUAGGGAAUCUUCGGCAAUGGGGGCAACCCUGACCGAGCAACGCCGCGUGAGUGAAGAAGGUUUUCGGAUCGUAAAGCUCUGUUGUAAGUCAAGAACGGGUGUGAGAGUGGAAAGUUCACACUGUGACGGUAGCUUACCAGAAAGGGACGGCUAACUACGUGCCAGCAGCCGCGGUAAUACGUAGGUCCCGAGCGUUGUCCGGAUUUAUUGGGCGUAAAGCGAGCGCAGGCGGUUUGAUAAGUCUGAAGUUAAAGGCUGUGGCUCAACCAUAGUUCGCUUUGGAAACUGUCAAACUUGAGUGCAGAAGGGGAGAGUGGAAUUCCAUGUGUAGCGGUGAAAUGCGUAGAUAUAUGGAGGAACACCGGUGGCGAAAGCGGCUCUCUGGUCUGUAACUGACGCUGAGGCUCGAAAGCGUGGGGAGCGAACAGGAUUAGAUACCCUGGUAGUCCACGCCGUAAACGAUGAGUGCUAGGUGUUGGAUCCUUUCCGGGAUUCAGUGCCGCAGCUAACGCAUUAAGCACUCCGCCUGGGGAGUACGACCGCAAGGUUGAAACUCAAAGGAAUUGACGGGGGCCCGCACAAGCGGUGGAGCAUGUGGUUUAAUUCGAAGCAACGCGAAGAACCUUACCAGGUCUUGACAUCCCGAUGCUAUUUCUAGAGAUAGAAAGUUACUUCGGUACAUCGGUGACAGGUGGUGCAUGGUUGUCGUCAGCUCGUGUCGUGAGAUGUUGGGUUAAGUCCCGCAACGAGCGCAACCCCUAUUGUUAGUUGCCAUCAUUCAGUUGGGCACUCUAGCGAGACUGCCGGUAAUAAACCGGAGGAAGGUGGGGAUGACGUCAAAUCAUCAUGCCCCUUAUGACCUGGGCUACACACGUGCUACAAUGGUUGGUACAACGAGUUGCGAGUCGGUGACGGCGAGCUAAUCUCUUAAAGCCAAUCUCAGUUCGGAUUGUAGGCUGCAACUCGCCUACAUGAAGUCGGAAUCGCUAGUAAUCGCGGAUCAGACGCCGC
RNAcentral lists this ribosomal RNA (1345 nucleotides) under Streptococcus thermophilus. RNAcentral's name for it is "bacterial SSU rRNA". It matches the Rfam family "Bacterial small subunit ribosomal RNA", at positions 29 to 1360 of the family's 1533-position model. The record is from RNAcentral. Lineage: Bacteria; Bacillati; Bacillota; Bacilli; Lactobacillales; Streptococcaceae.